Molecule: long non-coding RNA, 1223 nt
Organism: Schistocerca americana (American grasshopper)
Lineage: Eukaryota; Metazoa; Arthropoda; Insecta; Orthoptera; Acrididae
Exons: 3
Source: RefSeq, a predicted model, not a curated record
UGACUUGGCCUACAGAACAGUACAAUACAACUUUUGUGCAGAAUAUAAUUUAAGAUAACCAAACGAGAAUUAAAUCAAGCUAGAUAACUGACAGAUGCUUGCACAAGGCUUCCUGUUCUUUGUACACAUGCUCAUAUAGACGUUUGAACGCUUGUACAAAGCAUGCAUAAUCGAAAUACUAUCAAGCAUCAAGCUGCUUGUACAGUCCUAAUGCUUGUGCAGAUUUUUUGUACACACGCGUAAGCAUGUUUGGGCCAGUACACUUCCUUGCUUGUCGAACAUGUAGUUAUUGGUGUGGGGUCACAUUAAAACGUAAUCCGAGUAUGACGUAAAUCUGAGUAAUGUUGCAAACCCCUUGAAGAAAUUUGCAACUGUUUUGCCAUAGAAAAGUUUGUAGAACUGCAUUUUACAGCAUCGAAAUUGUACUGGAUCGUACGCAAGGAUGUUAAUGGAAUGUGAAAUAAUAGUUUGGCACGUGCGUAUGAGUUUUGUUGGUAUAUAAUGGAUCAUUGUGCUGCAGCAUUUUGUAUAACUAGGCUAGCGACUAGAAGAUACAGCGAAUCACGCGUUUUACUGUUUUUGUGCCUUACAAUGAUGUUUGGUUUGUGUUCCACGAACUGUACUGAGCUUGAAAACCAUUAGUACUGACAACUUUUUGUUGUGCCAAUCAGCGACUCAGCAUCUCCGCUCUAUGUUACAGAAGCGCACACCUAAUUUUAGAUUCGAUGAAGACACAUUUUGGAGGGUGUCAUGAUUCCUGCAGAAUGUCAAAUGAAAAUUUUUGCAUAUGUGCUAUCGAAAGUGAAGAGUUGGUAGCGAAACAGAAUACCAAGUGGAGAAAGACGAUUGCACCAAAUUUUCGACUUGCCAGUACCCUCAGAUUUCUGGCCAGCAGGAGACAGUUUUAAAAGCCUUCAGUACCUAAUUACAGUUUCGUCACAGAUUUUUUUCGAGUAUAGGUCCAGAGGUUUGCAGUGACACUAUUAAAGUGCUGCAAGGAAAUGGAAAGAUGCCAAAAACAUGGACAGAAUGGACGAGAGUUGCAACAACAUGUGAAAAUCUUUGAAAUUUUCUCCAUUUUGCAUUGGUGCCCCUGGAUAGACACUGUAGCUGUACAGGCCCCUGCUAACAUGGAUGUGAAUUUUAGUUAUAAACACAGCACAAAUACAUUUGGGCUAUUGGUCAAUGUAUUUAAAGUGCUUCGGAAACCAAUGCUGCUUCAG